RNAcentral lists this ribosomal RNA (484 nucleotides) under uncultured bacterium. RNAcentral describes it as "bacterial SSU rRNA". It matches the Rfam family "Bacterial small subunit ribosomal RNA", at positions 38 to 507 of the family's 1533-position model. The record is from RNAcentral.
GGCGGCGUGCUUAACACAUGCAAGUCAAGGGGAAGAGUUCAGCAAUGGACUUGGACACUGGCGCACGGGUGAGUAAAAUAUAAGUAAUCUACCUACGGGAUUGGAAUAACGUCGAGAAAUUGGCGCUAAUACCGAAUAAUGCAGCGGCACCACAAGGUGAUGUUGUUAAAGUUGCUGUAAGGCAACGCCUGUAGAUGAGCUUGUAACUGAUUAGCUAGUUGGCGGGAUAAUAGCCCACCAAGGCGACGAUCAGUAGCUGGUCUGAGAGGAUGAUCAGCCACACUGGAACUGAGACACGGUCCAGACUCCUACGGGAGGCAGCAGUGAGGAAUAUUGGGCAAUGCCCGCAAGGGUGACCCAGCAACGCCGCGUGAAUGAUGAAGGUCGUAAGAUCGUAAAGUUCUUUUGGAGAAGACGAAAGGUAUAUGUAGGAAAUGGCAUAUAUUUGACUGUAUUCUCAGAAAAAGCCCCGGCUAACUACGUG